This 18-nucleotide small nuclear RNA is filed under the name Arabidopsis thaliana (thale cress). RNAcentral describes it as "snRNA_07329". Lineage: Eukaryota; Viridiplantae; Streptophyta; Magnoliopsida; Brassicales; Brassicaceae. The record is from RNAcentral.
AGCCGGGUUACGGUGCCC